Molecule: non-coding RNA, 30 nt
Filed under: Mus musculus (house mouse)
Lineage: Eukaryota; Metazoa; Chordata; Mammalia; Rodentia; Muridae
Source: RNAcentral
UUCCAACUGGGCAGUUCAGUGGCUUUAAAU